RNAcentral lists this long non-coding RNA (441 nucleotides) under Gallus gallus (chicken). RNAcentral's name for it is "lncRNA (ENSGALG00010028959.1)". Lineage: Eukaryota; Metazoa; Chordata; Aves; Galliformes; Phasianidae. The record is from RNAcentral.
GGGGAAUAUUAUGACGCUGUAGGGGGCUAUUGGGAAAGCUAUAUGGUUCUAUGGGGAGGCUAUAGGAGCUUUAUAGGUGGUUAUGGGGCUAUAGAGAGCUGUGGGUGGUCUGUCGGCGGGUUGUAGUAGGGUAGGAGGCUAUAGGGGGCUGUGGAGGGGAUAUAGGGAGAUAUGGGGCAAUAGUGGGUUUUUAAGGGGUUGUGGCGGGCUGUGGGAGUGUAUAGGAUGAUAGGGGGCCGGGGAGGAUUUCUAGAGAGGGAUAUUAUGCUGGAGAAGGUAUGGGAGGCUAAAAUGGGCCUUUGGGGGUUACAGAGGGGCUGUGGUGGGCUAUUUGGGGAUAUAGGGAGAUAUAAGGCUAUAGGGGGUGUUUGGAGGAUGUGGUCCUCUAAGGGGCUGUGUGGGUCCAUAGGAUGAUCUGGAGCUAUAGGGUGAUCUCUAAAG